CCUAACUGCUCAGACACACGACAGUGUUCAUUUCUCCGUUGUCAUUUCGAACCUUAUGCGUUCUAUCUAACAUGGAAGGUCGAAUUAGGAAUACUCAGUGGAGGACAAUCGAAACAGAGGGCCUACUACACGGAGAUGAGAACAACAACUGCGCCAGAAACGCGUGUCAAUUCAGGUGAAGAUGCUAAGGUUUCGCGGAACAUCUUUCCGCACGGGAUCACGUAUGCUAAAAACCACAUCUGUGACAGAAUAAGACUGGUAUCAGCAGAGUAUCUAUCUUGUAUUAUAAUACCUGUGCACCAACUUAACAUCUGAUAAUGUAAUAAUAUAUUGCACCAGAAGUAAAUAAAAUCAUAUCAGCAUAA
Long non-coding RNA from Schistocerca nitens (vagrant locust), 365 nucleotides. RefSeq lists it as uncharacterized. The record is from RefSeq and is a predicted model, not a curated record. The transcript is spliced from 2 exons. NCBI's taxonomy places the organism in Eukaryota, Metazoa, Arthropoda, Insecta, Orthoptera, Acrididae.